UGGGGGAUAUUGCACAAUGGGCGAAAGCCUGAUGCAGCGACGCCGCGUGGGGGAUGAAGGCCUUCGGGUUGUAAACUUCUUUUGCUCUGAACAAGGCGCACCAUGGGGUGUGUUGAGUGUAGGGGUUGAUUAGCGCCGGCUAACUACGUGCCAGCAGCCGCGGUAAUACGUAGGGCGCGAGCGUUGUCCGGAAUUAUUGGGCGUAAAGGGCUUGUAGGUGGCUGGUUGCGUCUGUCGUGAAAGCUCAUGGCUUAACUGUGGGUUUGCUGUGGGUACGGGCUGGCUUGAGUGCAGUAGGGGAGGCUGGAAUUCCUGGUGUAGCGGUGGAAUGCGCAGAUAUCAGGAGGAAUACCGGUUGCGAAGGCGGGUCUCUGGGCUGUUACUGACACUGAGGAGCGAAAGCAUGGGGAGCGAACAGG
RNAcentral lists this ribosomal RNA (419 nucleotides) under bacterium. Its description in RNAcentral is "partial 16S ribosomal RNA". It matches the Rfam family "Bacterial small subunit ribosomal RNA", at positions 355 to 776 of the family's 1533-position model. The record is from RNAcentral.